This 262-nucleotide ribosomal RNA is filed under the name uncultured bacterium. RNAcentral's name for it is "partial 16S ribosomal RNA". It matches the Rfam family "Bacterial small subunit ribosomal RNA", at positions 513 to 774 of the family's 1533-position model. The record is from RNAcentral.
AGCCGCGGUAAUACGAAGGGUGCAAGCGUUACUCGGAAUUAUUGGGCGUAAAGCGAGCGUAGGUGGCUCAUUAAGUUUGGACUUAAAGACCGGGGCUCAACUCCGGGAGUGGUUCGAAUACUGGUGAGCUAGAGGCUGUUAGAGGAAAGUGGAAUUCCGAGUGUAGCGGUGAAAUGCGUAGAUAUUCGGAGGAACACCGGUGGCGAAAGCGACUUUCUGGGGCAGUCCUGACACUGAGGCUCGAAAGCUCGGGGAGCAAACA